RNAcentral lists this long non-coding RNA (470 nucleotides) under Mytilus galloprovincialis (Mediterranean mussel). Lineage: Eukaryota; Metazoa; Mollusca; Bivalvia; Mytilida; Mytilidae. The record is from RNAcentral.
UGUAGAAAAUAAUAGACUAAACCUGGUUUUAUAGCAAGCGAAACCUCUCACUUGUAUGAUAGACAUAUUCUAUUCCAUAAUAUUGACAACCAUUUGUGAAGAAAAUAAACAGACAUGAUAGAUAGAAAUGUAAAAAAUAGUGGUACAGCAGUCAAUAUUGUAUUAUAAUCUCAAUCACUAUAACAAAAAACAAAUAUGCCAAAAAAUAAAAACAGUAAAGCGUAUAGACAAAGCACAAUAGCAAAAAUGAAAACCAAGAAUAUGAAAAAUGACCAUAGCACAAUAACACAAUGGCGGGAUGUAUAAGUACAGAGCAACGCAAUAAGGAUAUUACAAAAAAUAAACUGUAAACAGUAAAGGUGAAUGAUUUGCCAAGUCAAAUAAUAGACAAGUGUUUCAUUAUAUUGAACAUAAAUUCAGUCCGUAGUUGUUCGUUUAAAAUGUUUUACAUUUGUCAUUUCGGGGCCUUU